CCUACGGGUGGCAGCAGUGAGGAAUAUUGGUCAAUGGGCUUACGCCUGAACCAGCCAAGUCGCGUGAGGGAAGACUGCCCUAUGGGUUGUAAACCUCUUUUGUCAGGGAGCAACGCCGGCUACGUGUAGCCGGACUGAGAGUACCUGAAGAAAAAGCAUCGGCUAACUCCGUGCCAGCAGCCGCGGUAAUCCGGAGGAUGCGAGCGUUAUCCGGAUUUAUUGGGUUUAAAGGGUGCGGAGGCGGAAUGCCAAGUCAGCGGUAAAAUCGCGGGGCUCAACCUCGCUCCGCCGUUGAAACUGGCGGUCUUGAGUGGGCGAGAAGUAUGCGGAAUGCGUGGUGUAGCGGUGAAAUGCAUAGAUAUCACGCAGAACUCCGAUUGCGAAGGCAGCAUACCGGCGCCCAACUGACGCUGAAGCACGAAAGCGUGGGUAUCGAACAGGAUUAGAUACCCUAGUAGUC
RNAcentral lists this ribosomal RNA (460 nucleotides) under uncultured bacterium. Its description in RNAcentral is "partial 16S ribosomal RNA". It matches the Rfam family "Bacterial small subunit ribosomal RNA", at positions 338 to 795 of the family's 1533-position model. The record is from RNAcentral.